This 380-nucleotide ribosomal RNA is filed under the name uncultured cyanobacterium. RNAcentral describes it as "bacterial SSU rRNA". It matches the Rfam family "Bacterial small subunit ribosomal RNA", at positions 376 to 770 of the family's 1533-position model. The record is from RNAcentral. Lineage: Bacteria; Bacillati; Cyanobacteriota.
CGAAAGCCUGACGGAGCAAUACCGCGUGAGGGAGGAAGGCUCUUGGGUUGUAAACCUCUUUUCUCAAGGAAGAAAAAAAUGACGGUACUUGAGGAAUAAGCAUCGGCUAACUCCGUGCCAGCAGCCGCGGUAAUACGGAGGAUGCAAGCGUUAUCCGGAAUGAUUGGGCGUAAAGCGUCCGCAGGUGGCUAUGUAAGUCUGCUGUUAAAGAGUCUGGCUCAACCAGAUAAAGGCAGUGGAAACUACAUGGCUAGAGUGCGUUCGGGGCAGAGGGAAUUCCUGGUGUAGCGGUGAAAUGCGUAGAGAUCAGGAAGAACACCGGUGGCGAAAGCGCUCUGCUAGGCCGCAACUGACACUGAGGGACGAAAGCUAGGGGAGCG